Non-coding RNA from Phrynosoma platyrhinos (Desert horned lizard), 72 nucleotides. Lineage: Eukaryota; Metazoa; Chordata; Lepidosauria; Squamata; Phrynosomatidae. The record is from the annotation of a GenBank genome assembly.
CCCAGUGUAGCACAGUGGUUUGUACGUCAGACCGCAACUCUGCAGACCAGGGUUUAAUUCCCAGUUCAGCCA